This 1553-nucleotide ribosomal RNA is filed under the name Staphylococcus aureus Bmb9393. RNAcentral's name for it is "16S ribosomal RNA". It matches the Rfam family "Bacterial small subunit ribosomal RNA". The record is from RNAcentral. Lineage: Bacteria; Bacillati; Bacillota; Bacilli; Caryophanales; Staphylococcaceae.
UUUAUGGAGAGUUUGAUCCUGGCUCAGGAUGAACGCUGGCGGCGUGCCUAAUACAUGCAAGUCGAGCGAACGGACGAGAAGCUUGCUUCUCUGAUGUUAGCGGCGGACGGGUGAGUAACACGUGGAUAACCUACCUAUAAGACUGGGAUAACUUCGGGAAACCGGAGCUAAUACCGGAUAAUAUUUUGAACCGCAUGGUUCAAAAGUGAAAGACGGUCUUGCUGUCACUUAUAGAUGGAUCCGCGCUGCAUUAGCUAGUUGGUAAGGUAACGGCUUACCAAGGCAACGAUGCAUAGCCGACCUGAGAGGGUGAUCGGCCACACUGGAACUGAGACACGGUCCAGACUCCUACGGGAGGCAGCAGUAGGGAAUCUUCCGCAAUGGGCGAAAGCCUGACGGAGCAACGCCGCGUGAGUGAUGAAGGUCUUCGGAUCGUAAAACUCUGUUAUUAGGGAAGAACAUAUGUGUAAGUAACUGUGCACAUCUUGACGGUACCUAAUCAGAAAGCCACGGCUAACUACGUGCCAGCAGCCGCGGUAAUACGUAGGUGGCAAGCGUUAUCCGGAAUUAUUGGGCGUAAAGCGCGCGUAGGCGGUUUUUUAAGUCUGAUGUGAAAGCCCACGGCUCAACCGUGGAGGGUCAUUGGAAACUGGAAAACUUGAGUGCAGAAGAGGAAAGUGGAAUUCCAUGUGUAGCGGUGAAAUGCGCAGAGAUAUGGAGGAACACCAGUGGCGAAGGCGACUUUCUGGUCUGUAACUGACGCUGAUGUGCGAAAGCGUGGGGAUCAAACAGGAUUAGAUACCCUGGUAGUCCACGCCGUAAACGAUGAGUGCUAAGUGUUAGGGGGUUUCCGCCCCUUAGUGCUGCAGCUAACGCAUUAAGCACUCCGCCUGGGGAGUACGACCGCAAGGUUGAAACUCAAAGGAAUUGACGGGGACCCGCACAAGCGGUGGAGCAUGUGGUUUAAUUCGAAGCAACGCGAAGAACCUUACCAAAUCUUGACAUCCUUUGACAACUCUAGAGAUAGAGCCUUCCCCUUCGGGGGACAAAGUGACAGGUGGUGCAUGGUUGUCGUCAGCUCGUGUCGUGAGAUGUUGGGUUAAAGUCCCGCAACGAGCGCAACCCUUAAGCUUAGUUGCCAUCAUUAAGUUGGGCACUCUAAGUUGACUGCCGGUGACAAACCGGAGGAAGGUGGGGAUGACGUCAAAUCAUCAUGCCCCUUAUGAUUUGGGCUACACACGUGCUACAAUGGACAAUACAAAGGGCAGCGAAACCGCGAGGUCAAGCAAAUCCCAUAAAGUUGUUCUCAGUUCGGAUUGUAGUCUGCAACUCGACUACAUGAAGCUGGAAUCGCUAGUAAUCGUAGAUCAGCAUGCUACGGUGAAUACGUUCCCGGGUCUUGUACACACCGCCCGUCACACCACGAGAGUUUGUAACACCCGAAGCCGGUGGAGUAACCUUUUAGGAGCUAGCCGUCGAAGGUGGGACAAAUGAUUGGGGUGAAGUCGUAACAAGGUAGCCGUAUCGGAAGGUGCGGCUGGAUCACCUCCUUU